This 493-nucleotide ribosomal RNA is filed under the name uncultured bacterium. RNAcentral's name for it is "partial 16S ribosomal RNA". It matches the Rfam family "Bacterial small subunit ribosomal RNA", at positions 29 to 507 of the family's 1533-position model. The record is from RNAcentral.
ACGAACGCUGGCGGCGUGCUUAACACAUGCCAGUCGAACGGUGAAGCGCCUUCCUUUUUGGUGGGUGUGGAUGAGUGGCGAACGGGUGAGUAACACGUGAGUAACCUGCCCCCUUCUUCUGGAUAACCGCAUGAAAGUGUGGCUAAUACGGGAUAUUCUGGGUCUGUCGCAUGAUGGGUCUGGGAAAGAUAUUGUUUCGGUGGGGGAUGGGCUCGCGGCCUAUCAGCUUGUUGGUGGGGUGAUGGCCUACCAAGGCGGUGACGGGUAGCCGGCCUGAGAGGGUGGACGGUCACACUGGGACUGAGACACGGCCCAGACUCCUACGGGAGGCAGCAGUGGGGAAUAUUGCACAAUGGGCGCAAGCCUGAUGCAGCGACGCCGCGUGAGGGAUGGAGGCCUUCGGGUUGUGAACCUCUUUCGCCAGUGAAGCAGGCCUGCCUCGUUUGUGGGUGGGUUGACGGUAGCUGGAUAAGAAGCGCCGGCUAACUACGUG